AGUGAACGCUGGCGGUAGGCCUAACACAUGCAAGUCGAACGGCAGCACAGUAAGAGCUUGCUCUUACGGGUGGCGAGUGGUGGACGGGUGAGGAAUACAUCGGAAUUUACUUUUUCGUGGGGGCUAACGCAGGGAAACUUACGCCAAUACCGCAUACGACCUACGGGUGAAAGCAGGGGAUCUUCGGACCUUGAGCGAGUGAAUGAGCCGAUGUCGGGUUAGCUAGUUGGCGGGGUAAAGGCCCACCAAGGCGACGAUCCGUAGCUGGUCUGAGAGGAUGAUCAGCCACACUGGAACUGAGACACGGUCCAGACUCCUACGGGAGGCAGCAGUGGGGAAUAUUGGACAAUGGGCGCAAGCCUGAUCCAGCCAUACCGCGUGGGUGAAGAAGGCCUUCGGAUUGUAAAGCCCUUUUGUUGGGAAAGAAAAGCAGCAGGUUAAUACCCCGCUGUUCUGACGGUACCCAAAGAAUAAGCACCGGCUAACUUCGUG
This 492-nucleotide ribosomal RNA is filed under the name uncultured bacterium. Its description in RNAcentral is "partial 16S ribosomal RNA". It matches the Rfam family "Bacterial small subunit ribosomal RNA", at positions 29 to 507 of the family's 1533-position model. The record is from RNAcentral.